GAAGGAGAAUUCCAAAGGGAUCGCAUUGAUCUCUUUAUAUAUCUAUAGUCUCGAGUGAUCAUGCGAUUCCUUUGGAAUUUUCCAU
This 85-nucleotide microRNA precursor is filed under the name Ensete ventricosum. RNAcentral describes it as "mir-393 microRNA precursor family". It matches the Rfam family "mir-393 microRNA precursor family". RNAcentral also lists the same sequence under 2 other names. Lineage: Eukaryota; Viridiplantae; Streptophyta; Magnoliopsida; Zingiberales; Musaceae. The record is from Rfam by way of RNAcentral.